Panicum virgatum (switchgrass) is the source of this 665-nucleotide long non-coding RNA. RefSeq lists it as uncharacterized. Lineage: Eukaryota; Viridiplantae; Streptophyta; Magnoliopsida; Poales; Poaceae. The transcript has 2 exons. The record is from RefSeq and is a predicted model, not a curated record.
AGCUGUCCUCCUCGGUUCAUGACGCCAAUUCCGAGUUCGCCUCUUCCUCUCCUCGGGCUAGAGCCAGAGCUCGAGCUCUCCCCUGCUCUGGAGCGGUGUCGCCGCCCGCCAUGGUCGCCGGUCCUGCCUGAGCUCCGCGGAGUACCCUCUCCACCCUACCCCGACCCGAUUUGAUCCCACCUCUACCUUCACUUCGCCGCGCUGAAGCUCCCAGGCCGUUUCCCCACUGCGCAGGCCCGCCCAGAACAGCCGCUGGCUGCCAUGGUUGCCGCCGCCCACGGCCUCCCCGCUGAGCUCCCACCUCCGGCCUUCCCCAGCUCCAAUAGACCUCGGGAAUGGUUUCACCUCGCCCCAACGGAGCUCCCAAGCCCAGCCAAGCCGCCUCCCACUCGCCGGAGUGCCGCAGCCGCGGCACAGGGCCGCCGCCCGCGGAUAGCCCGCUACGGGCCACCUCAGCCUCCACCGAGACCAUCUACAGGUGGUACAUCUGAGGAUGUGAUUGAUGUCAUGUACGGGCUUCAUCAUGACGUCUUCUAUCGUCGCUAGACUAUUGUGUAUUUUUCUGCUGCCCUUGAACUUUGUUGUCUUUUUAUAAAUUCAAACUUGGUUUGUAAUAUUAAUUCAAUUUCAUACUCUAUGCUGUAAAAUUUGAGGAAUGUUGCUUU